ACGCUCGACACCUACGGGGGCAGCAGUAGGGAAUCUUCCACAAUGGGCGCAAGCCUGAUGGAGCAACACCGCGUGAGUGAAGAAGGGUUUCGGCUCGUAAAGCUCUGUUGUUGGAGAAGAACGUGCGUGAGACGUAACUGUUCACGCAGUGACGGUAUCCAACCAGAAAGUCACGGCUAACUACGUGUCAGCAGCCGCGGUAAUCUGAGCGGGCUGGACAAGGC
RNAcentral lists this ribosomal RNA (224 nucleotides) under uncultured bacterium. Its description in RNAcentral is "partial 16S ribosomal RNA". It matches the Rfam family "Bacterial small subunit ribosomal RNA", at positions 328 to 538 of the family's 1533-position model. The record is from RNAcentral.